GGGAUUGCCCUAGUAACGGCGAGUGAAGCGGCAACAGCUCAAAUUUGAAAUCUGGCGCAAGCCCGAGUUGUAAUUUGUAGAGGAUGCUUCUGGGUAGCGACCGAUCUAAGUUCCUUGGAACAGGACGUCAUAGAGGGUGAGAAUCCCGUAUGUGACCGGCCCGCACCCUUUACGUAGCUCCUUCGACGAGUCGAGUUGUUUGGGAAUGCAGCUCUAAAUGGGAGGUAAAUUUCUUCUAAAGCUAAAUACCGGCCAGAGACCGAUAGCGCACAAGUAGAGUGAUCGAAAGAUGAAAAGUACUUUGGAAAGAGAGUUAAAAAGCACGUGAAAUUGUUGAAAGGGAAGCGCCUGCAACCAGACUUCGCGGCAGUGUUCCACCGGUCUUCUGACCGGUUCAUUCUCUGUCGCGAGGCCAUCAUCGUCUGGGCCCGCCGGAUAAGACCUUAGGAAUGUAGCUCACCUUCGGGGGAGUGUUAUAGCCUAGGGUGAUGCGGCGAGGCUCGGGCGAGGUCCGCGCUUCGGCAAGGAUGAUGGCGUAAUGGUUGUCGGCGGCCCGUCUUGAAACACGGACCAAGGAGUCUAACAUCUAUGCGAGUGUUCGGGUGUCAAACCCCUACGCGUAAUGAAAGUGAACGGAGGUGGGAACCGCAAGGUGCACCAUCGACCGAUCCUGAUGUCCUCGGAUGGAUUUGAGUAAGAGCAUAGCUGUUGGGACCCGAAAGAUGGUGAACUAUGCCUGAAUAGGGUGAAGCCAGAGGAAACUCUGGUGGAGGCUCGCAGCGGUUCUGACGUGCAAAUCGAUCGUCAAAUUUGGGUAUAGGGGCG
Molecule: ribosomal RNA, 825 nt
Filed under: Septoria lamiicola
Lineage: Eukaryota; Fungi; Ascomycota; Dothideomycetes; Mycosphaerellales; Mycosphaerellaceae
Also listed under: 1 other name
Description: eukaryotic LSU rRNA
Rfam family: Eukaryotic large subunit ribosomal RNA
Source: RNAcentral